This 201-nucleotide ribosomal RNA is filed under the name uncultured prokaryote. RNAcentral's name for it is "partial 16S ribosomal RNA". It matches the Rfam family "Bacterial small subunit ribosomal RNA", at positions 524 to 724 of the family's 1533-position model. The record is from RNAcentral.
UACGAAGGGGGCUAGCGUUGCUCGGAAUUACUGGGCGUAAAGGGCGUGUAGGCGGUUGGUUAAGUCGGGUGUGAAAGCCUGAGGCUCAGCCUCAGAAGUGCAUCCGAAACUAGCCAGCUGGAGCGCGAUAGAGGAGGGUGGAAUUCCUGGUGUAGCGGUGAAAUGCGUAGAUAUCAGGAGGAACACCGGCGGCGAAGGCGG